Molecule: long non-coding RNA, 503 nt
Filed under: Apteryx owenii (little spotted kiwi)
Lineage: Eukaryota; Metazoa; Chordata; Aves; Apterygiformes; Apterygidae
Description: lncRNA (ENSAOWG00000007065.1)
Source: RNAcentral
GUUUUUUGGAAGAAUACAUCAUGGAAGGGUCUUAAUAUGUGGCAGGGCUCUUAAAUUUAUUUUAAUGUAUUCAAAUUAAGUAUUUUUAAACUGUUGAGUCCAAAGUGAAAAAUUUGGGAAACUUGACAGCUAUCAAUGCUAGGUGGCAUAUUGACCUUAACUAGGAAAUGCUGUUUCUUUGAAAAAGGAAAUAGAAAUGCCCUAUGGCUGUUUCUAGCCUAAAAAACUUUGUGGGGUUCAUUCAAGGCUCUAGAUAUAAUAAAAGGCUGAGAAAACUGAAUAGUGGUAGACAGCAGAGUUCCUGUAAAUUGGACACAAAUAACCAGAGGAGCUGGCCUGUCUCUGUUACCAAAACAGCUCGGGUCCUUUGGGAAGAAAAAGCAAUUUGUUUGGCAGUCCUGCUGAGCAUUGCUGACAGUCAGCUUAGAAGAUCAGAGAAGUGGAAUGGAAACCUUCUUGGCUCCACUUGUAGGAGGAAAGGGAAAUCUGUACUGGAUUUCUAA